GUGAACUGGAUCCAACUUGCCCUGUUCAGCAUUCCUUUUCUCCACGCUUUGAGUGACUGCCUAAUUAUUUUCAAGUACAUAUAACAAAAGCGCUCUGUUAGUUUGCAGGAAGAGUUCUCUCCUUUACGCAAUGACCAGAUGUCAAUAAGAAGAGUUCAAUUGUCAAGGUAAUAUUUAUUCUGCAUACAAACCGUUUUAUUAACAUUGCUCUCUACUGUGACGUCUUUGCUUUAAUAUUCUGUAGCCCUAAUAAGAGCUUUCACGUAUGAGAGCAUUGCUACCCCAGUGCAUAUUGAAUAGAGGUGUUUUAUAUGCCAUGAAGCAGUUAUAUAUACUAUAUAUAGUGAGUCAGUAAGCAUGGUGUUGGAUAUUAUUUCUAGUAGUAAAAUGUGAAUUCUAGAAUAAAAAUGUGAAUUAUUUCUCUUCAGCAGCAAAAACAUUGGAAAAUUAUUGUGCAAAUCAAAGCAAAUGGUUCUAUUCGUCACCUGCAGACAUACACUGAACAGACAUAUAUGUUUUAUUUCAUGACUGAAUAGAGGAGCCGCACUCAAUUCCGUUUGACACCAGGUGCACUGAAGCAGGACCAGCAAUCCCACAACGCUCAGGCAAACAGAAGAAUGGUCUCCAGGCACUCAAGGUGUUCAAACUCAAGCUUGACAAAGACCUCAUAGCAGGUCGAAACGUUACUUUUUUUGACCCAAUAAAUCUGACUUUGGUUUAAACACCUUGUGAGUUUUAUUGUGCCACAUGAUUCCUUUGCCUGGAGCACUAUUACAUGAUGAGUGAAACUCUUGAAUUAGCUGAUGGCACCCAUCCCAUGGCCAAAGAGAUUACCAUUCAAGUUGCGUAUGUGGAGUGCACUUGCAGCCAACACAAGUUGGACAGAGGUUGGACAGCAAAAGAAAAGUUAACAUUCUUUUUUUUAUGUCACUGACUUAGGGGGCAGUCUUACAGUUGCAGCAAUCUGUACAAGCUAUUCCAGUAUCAGCCAUUCUGAGUGGGUAGACAGAAACCCAUCUGAUGAUGUAAAGUUGUUAUUGAUCGUUUAAAAUGUUCCUAUUCUACUUUAAUGAAAACAUUGCAGAAUCUGAUUUUUAUAUUAGAUAGAAUGUAUCCUUCUUAUGUUUAUGAUAUAUUAGUGAGAUAUUUGGGGAAUAUGGUGCCAACAUAUUUUCUUUCAUUCAUAGUAAUGCAGUUAUGAAAAAAGGUUACAAAAUUUAAAUGUGUUUAGUUUAGAAUAACAGCACCUCAGAGGGUAUUUUAAUAGUAUUAUACAAAUAUAUUUAAGGGCCAAUACAAACUACUGUCUGUAAAUUUAUUCCGAAACAGGACUAUAGAUAGGAUACAAAGUCCCGAAUUUAAACUGGAAGAAAGGAGAUUUCACUUAAGUCAAAUGAAGGGUUUCUUUACAGUAAGAACAAUAAGGAUGUGGAAUUCUCUGCCUGAAGAGAUAGUUUUAUCAGAGUCUGUACAGAUGUUUGUAUACUUGCAAAAACAUAAUAUUCAGGGUUAUAAUUUCUAAUUUGUGGGGUAAUAGUUUCUUCAUACAAGGAGAGAUCAGACUGCCAUUCUGGUGUCAAGAAGGAUUGUUCUCCUAAUUUGUUGUAAACUUGCAAUUCACUUCAAACUGGGUGUUUUGCCUUCGUUUCAAUCAACAGCAAAAACAGAUGUGUGAAAAGCUGAACUUAACGGACACAUGUCACUUUUCAGCCUGUGUAACUAUGAGGUAUAGACUAAGAUUUGAAUUUCACAUUGCAUUCACAUUGAAUAAAAAGUGCAGGUUUAAAUAGAAAUUAAUCUUGUUACAACCUUAGCUGUCAAUCAGACAACCAACCCAAUUACUUAUUGGUUAUUUAGCUCAGUGGAGAUAAACUCAAGAUGCAGGCAAUUGCUUAGUGACUACUCAUUGAGCUGCAUUUGGAGAUCUGUGAUUGGAUAGCCACAAAAAGUCUGGGUGGGGCUAUAAGGGGAGGGCUUACAAAGGCUGCAGAAAUUAGAUCUGCAGCUCUUGCACACUGUUUUACACACACCCCAAAUGAAUAUUUGCCUAAAUAAAUGCAUGCAUGUAUUCAUAUCUACUAAAUAAUGAUUUACAGAAUACUGAUAGAAUAUGUGCAAAUAUCUACUUUGUAUGCAUUCUGCAUCAAAUGUGACAUUCCUUUUGAAAUAGGUACCAUAUGGUGAAUCAGCUCGUUAUACAGGACCCCAAUCAGUCUCAGCUCUGUUUGGAUGCUUGUUUAUCAUAGUAAACACUGUUGAUUUAUUUUAUGUUUCAAACAAACAAGCAAACAAAUUAACAAAAAAUGGGAAGCACUCCGCUGAAUGAGUAUGUAUUAGAUGGGGGGCAGAUGAAAUUGUGAGAAAUAAGAUCGUCGCACAUUCAUAUUAUACAAACUAUAAAUCUUUUAAAGUUGCAUAAAAACACAUUUUACAGUAAAAUAUGAUAAUUUAGUUAUGUUUAGUAGGCUCCUCUCCUCCUGGUUAACAUUCUUCCAGUUUCUGUAGAGCUUCAGAAGCUGAUGCAGCCAGCUGUCAUUAUCUUAGAGCGUUGCACACUAAGCAAAACAAAUAAAUAAAAAUUGCACAUCAUUGAAAUGGAACGCUUUUAUCUGAGAUGUUCAAAUCCAAAGAGUGGAAAGCACACAUCUUCUAAAUAAGGAACCCAGAGUAAGGUGCGACUUGGCAGGUGUGGUGUAUCUCCAGAGUAAUACUUCAAUAAGAAAAAUGCCUGUGUACACCAAGUUGUUUCAUGUGAGCAGACUACAUUUGGUGGUUAAAGCAACGCUUCGGCACUUAAAGUGAGCCUUUUAUGCUUGCAAAAAGGCUCACUCUAAGAGUCGAAGUGUUCCUUUAACCACAAAAUAAAGUCUGCUCACAUAGAACACUUGAUUUGGCAGUUAAAGCAGCAUUUCGACUCUUAGAGUGAGAAUUAGAAUGAGCCUUUUAUGCCUGAAAAAAAGCUCACUCUAAAAGCCAAAAUGUAGCUUUAACCACAAAAUAAAGUCUGCUCAAAUAGAACACGGGCAUUUUUCCUAUUGAAGAAUUUCUCUCUCUAACCUUAGCUUUGUGACUCAAGCACUUUAUAUUUCUAUUAUACAUCAAGAAGAACAUUGUUCCAUAGAUUAUUACUUGGAAAUUAGAUAUUGGAUAUAAUAGAAACUUAAUCAAAACAAAUGAUGAAUCAAUAAAUCAAAUAAAUAAUCUGCGAAUAGUAAAAUUAAUGCCUUACUUUAUCUCAGGAAUGUUCUUCAAGAUGACCGACUUUGGAUGUUGUGGAUAACCGGGAUAUGUAUGCCAUUUUGGUAGGUGGAAGAAACAAAAAACUCAAACAUUCAGAUUUUUUUUUACUUAUCUAUAUUCUGUGAGAUUAUACUUAAUCUUAGUAAAAUGGUAUUUAUACAUUAGAAGCUAUUGAAUUUCCUUUAAAGGAAAUUACAACAUAUCCCAAGAGUUCUGCUCUGCGUAUAGAUCUUCAAUAAAGAAGUACAGUUUUUUGGCAAUGCGGUAGGCUUUAAUAACUAAUUUUGGAGUUUUACAUGAUUCUUCUCAGUUCUUACCAUGAAGGCUUGACUAUGCUUAAUAAAUAGCAAUUUAAUCAUGUUGUUUAAUGUCUUUGUUUCCUGAGAAAGAGAUUUUGAGUGAUUUUAAUUUAAAAGCUUGAAAUGUUAAAAGUUUAUUUUUUAUGGAGGGGUGAUUUUUAAUUAUUUAAAAAUAAAAAAUAAAAAAAAAGUAAUUGGAUACAAUUUUAUUCUAUAUACCUUUUUUUCUUCUCUACCAUUCUAAUAUUAUUUUAUAUUCAGCAAGUGUAAGCAAAUGUCUUGCUUAUAUGUGUAUUGUUAUAAAUCCCCUUCGUCUGUAUUCAGGAUGUCCUUGUGACAGUAAUGAGCUGGCAUAACAGGUGAAUUUAUAAUAACAUCGCUAACAGAAAAAUGGGGUAAAAGUCAUAAUGCAGAGUAAUCACCAUGGACACAAUGGGAUCAGUUGGAGUAUUUCAUUGGUUUCCAUGGUGAUGUAUUCCCUUUUUAAAGUAUUUCUAUAUUUUUUCGUAACAAUCUGUGCUGUAACCUGAAUCCUGAGAAUAUUCCCAACAUACAAAAUCUCACAUUUUAAUCUUAGAAUAUUAGCCAAUGUCAAUGACUCAAUAUCGCUGCACCGUCUUCACCACAGAUUCUCACUUACAGAUGAGAUAACAAUAACUUAUAUGUUAGAGCCUAAUAUUUCACUUAUCUUUAACUUCCAAAUGUUUUCCUUCCCAUGACCAGUCUCAAAUCCCUAAAAACUCAACCUUUCAAUAAAACCUCCAACUAUAAUUCAAUUUAUAAAGCAUAACCCAGCAAUGCCUUUCGUGGUACCCUGAGAUAUUGUUCUCAUGUUUGAGAAGUGAAGUUAUAUGUUGUUUGAUACAAUCAACUAAGCUAUUAAUAAGUGCAUUUUAUCUUAUAUUUUUUGACUAUUUAGUUACAACUCCUGGAGAAAAUAAAAGAAGAAUAUCUACAGAAGCCAAGUAUUAACAACUAAGGAGUUGGUCACAGCCCAGCAUCAAUAUCUGAUCAAUAACAUUUCCUGAAUUCCAUCCAAUGUUAUGAGUGUUUUCAGUACAAUGUCAAUCCAAAAAUAUCUCAACCGUUUUCUGCAGGAAACACUGUCAAAGUUAGAAAUUGUUAUUGAGUUAAAAUCAGGCUUAAAGUUAGACAUCCUUCUUCUUGACACAAUCUCAAAAUCCAUCCUCAGACUGUAAGUUAUUGACCCAAAAAAUUAAUCCAUCCUUUAAAGAUCUGAUCGGCCUGAUAUCAGUAUACAUGUUGCUGAAAAGUGACAAAAUGGUGAAUUUGUGAUUGCAUCGUCAUCAUCCAAAGCCCAUCAGCUGAUGUUAACAUAUUGAUAACUAUCAAACACAAAAUUUAGAUAUAUCCUCAGCUGUGACAAAACACCAUUGUAUCCAAAAAAUAUAUAAAAAUUGAAUCCCACCCUCAGCAAUGAUAGUAUGGAGGAUUAAUGGCAACCAAUAAAUAAAUAAGUUUCUAUGCUUUACUGUCUGUGAAUGUGUAGGUUACCAAUAAAAUAUAUUGUGCACGCUUGCACAAAAAUGGAUAAAUAAUGAUAAAUGCUAAGUUGAUACAAAUGUGACACAUGCUGAAGUGGAG
RNAcentral lists this long non-coding RNA (5144 nucleotides) under Pelobates cultripes (western spadefoot toad). The record is from RNAcentral. Lineage: Eukaryota; Metazoa; Chordata; Amphibia; Anura; Pelobatidae.